This 356-nucleotide ribosomal RNA is filed under the name Desmocaris sp. ULLZ 8358. Its description in RNAcentral is "partial small subunit ribosomal RNA". Lineage: Eukaryota; Metazoa; Arthropoda; Malacostraca; Decapoda; Desmocarididae. The record is from RNAcentral.
UACUUGAGUAGUAACUAGCUAUGGUCUUGAAACUUAAAGAAUUUGGCGGUAUUUUAGUUCUAUCCAGAGGAACCUGCGCUAUAAACGAUACACCACGAAAUUUCUUACUCUAUUUGGUAUUUCAGUUUGURUACCGCCAUUAUUGAGUGAUACUUUAAAGUAGGUACUAGGAUGCAGAUAAAUUGCAAGAUAUUAGGUCAAGGGGCGGCUUAUAGUAAAGAAAGCAUGUGGGUUACAAUAUAAUAGAUAUAUUACGGAAAAAAAUUUUAAAAAAUUUUUGGAAGGGGGAUUUGGUUGUAUUUUUAGUUUUAAUAAGAUAAUAAGAUGUCAGCUCUAGAAUAUGUACACAUCGCCCG